Molecule: long non-coding RNA, 638 nt
Filed under: Homo sapiens (human)
Lineage: Eukaryota; Metazoa; Chordata; Mammalia; Primates; Hominidae
Description: HSALNT0085750
Source: RNAcentral
GUAUUUAAGGAGAGAUUGAUAUGCAUAAGACGGGAUGUGUAACUUGUCGGAUCAACAGCGUAUCGGAUUUUCCAUGGAAGAUGCAGUGGUUAGUAGUGGUGGCAUUUUAUCUUUAGUUAAAACAUUUCAAUAAGAUCCCUUUACUGCACUGAUGCUGUCAUCAGACUGAGCCAAAAACAUCUGAAAAUGUUGACAAAGCAAGGUGAUUUUGAAUUUGUGACAAGCACUGCUUUAAGCUUCAGUUUCACAGAAAGAAAACAGUCCCUUUUACAGACCUACAUUACAAGUAAGUACACAAGCAAGUAUCAACAUAAAUAUUUGAAAACAAAUGAUUAUAUAUUUAUCAAUUAAAUUGGUAUUGGGAUGUGUGUGUGUGUUACUCUUCACUUCAAACACUAGGAAUACCAGAUAAGCUACCAUCUAUGUAUGGAUGAUAAAUAAAAUAUGAUUAAUAUCACACUGAAAAUAGUUCUCAUAAAGCCCAUUUAGGGAUUUUGUUACAGUACUUGAAAAAAAUCGAUUUGCUAGCAACAUAAUAAAAUCUUAGAAAUUUUAAAAAGUGAUGUUUUCUGGAAUGUCAUCACAGCUAAAUACAUCAGAUAAUGUGAUAUAUGAGAGAAAAAGAUUUUAUAUCCUUG